AUGAACGCUGGCGGCGUGCCUAAUACAUGCAAGUCGAGCGAACAGACGAGGAGCUUGCUCCUCUGACGUUAGCGGCGGACGGGUGAGUAACACGUGGAUAACCUACCUAUAAGACUGGGAUAACUUCGGGAAACCGUAGCUAAUACCGGAUAAUAUAUUGAACCGCAUGGUUCAAUAGUGAAAGACGGUUUUGCUGUCACUUAUAGAUGGAUCCGCGCCGCAUUAGCUAGUUGGUAAGGUAACGGCUUACCAAGGCGACGAUGCGUAGCCGACCUGAGAGGGUGAUCGGCCACACUGGAACUGAGACACGGUCCAGACUCCUACGGGAGGCAGCAGUAGGGAAUCUUCCGCAAAGGGCGAAAGCCUGACGGAGCAACGCCGCGUGAGUGAUGAAGGUCUUCGGAUCGUAAAACUCUGUUAUUAGGGAAGAACAAAUGUGUAAGUAACUAUGCACGUCUUGACGGUACCUAAUCAGAAAGCCACGGCUAACUACGUG
RNAcentral lists this ribosomal RNA (496 nucleotides) under uncultured bacterium. RNAcentral's name for it is "partial 16S ribosomal RNA". It matches the Rfam family "Bacterial small subunit ribosomal RNA", at positions 29 to 507 of the family's 1533-position model. The record is from RNAcentral.